This 311-nucleotide ribosomal RNA is filed under the name Panorpa communis. Its description in RNAcentral is "eukaryotic LSU rRNA". It matches the Rfam family "Eukaryotic large subunit ribosomal RNA", at positions 1592 to 1868 of the family's 3401-position model. The record is from RNAcentral. Lineage: Eukaryota; Metazoa; Arthropoda; Insecta; Mecoptera; Panorpidae.
GGGCGAAAGGGAAUCCGGUUCCUAUUCCGGAACCCGGCAGCGNAACCGUUAACAAGUCGGGCCCUCGAAAGAGAGUUCGUCGGGGUAACCCAAAAAGACCUGGAGACGCCGUCGGGAGAUCCAGAAAGAGUUUUCUUUUCUGUAUGAGCAUUCGAGUUCCCUGGAAUCCUUUAGCAGGGAGAUAGGGUUUGGAAUGCGAAGAGCACGCAGUUGCGGCGGUGUCUGGAUCUUCCCCUCGGACCUUGAAAAUCCAGGAGAGGGCCACGUGGAGGUGUCGCGCCGGUUCGUACCCAUAUCCGCAGCAGGUCUCC